AACGAACGCUGGCGGCGUGCUUAACACAUGCAAGUCGAACGGCAAGGCCCUGCUUUUGUGGUGUGCUCGAGUGGCGAACGGGUGAGUAACACGUGAGUAACCUGCCCUUGACUUUGGGAUAACUUCAGGAAACUGGGGCUACUACCAGAUAGGAGCUCCUGCAGCAUGGUGGGCGUUGGAACGUUUCGGCUGGUGCGGAUGGACUCGCGGCUUAUGAGCUUGUUGGUGGGGGAGUGGCAUACCAAGGCUGUGAAGGAUAGCCGGCCUGAGAGCGUGACCGGGGACAUGGGGCCUGAGAGACGGAGCAGAGGCGUAUGGGAGGCAGCAGGGGGGAAUAUGGCACAAUGGGCGGAAGCCGGAUGCAGAAACCCUGCGUGCGGGAUGACGUUCUGUGGGUUGUAAAACGCUGUCGCCUGAGACGAAGCGGGAGUGACGGUAACGGGUAAAGAAGCACCGGCUAACUACGUG
Molecule: ribosomal RNA, 468 nt
Filed under: uncultured bacterium
Lineage: Bacteria
Description: partial 16S ribosomal RNA
Rfam family: Bacterial small subunit ribosomal RNA
Source: RNAcentral